CUUUCUCUGUUCCCAAGACGGAAGAACCUGGGCCCAGUGAUUUUUGCACAGCCAAUCCACUGGGCCUCGGGGACGGAGUGGGCUCUGGUUUGCCCUUUUGAGUUGUAGGUGGGGAACUGAGCACAGGGCUGUGUGCUACUGGUCCCCUGUGACCUGUGAGGCAGGCCAGGGGUCCAGGGUAUCACCUGAUCCAAGUCUCUGUUCCCUUUCCUACCUUCACAGCAGCUGACACUGGAGUGCCCCUGGGGAGGGCAGGGGCCUCCCAGAUGGGUUGUGGCCAGAGCCGUGGGGAUGGAGCCCCUGGUGUGAGCCUUGCGGUCACUCGCUGGCAGGAAGACGGGGGUGGCCAUUCAUCCUGUGGCUUGGCGUCACAUGGGGCAUGGGGCUCAUGGUGGCAGGUGGACUGUCCGUGCCUGGAGGCGGUGCCCUCAGGCUGUGCUUCCCUUCCCGUCCUUCCCGCAGUUCACCAACCGCUGCCUGCUCAAGUGGCUGAAGUUGUGGGACCUGGUGGUGUUUGGCCACCAGAGGCCUGCCCGGAAGCCCAGGCCCAGUGUUGAGCCGGCCCGGGUCAGCAAGGAGGCCACAGCCCCAGGCAAGUGGAAGAGCCACGAACAGGUGCUGGAGGAGAUGCUGGAGGCUGGGCUGGACCCGAGCCAGCGACCGAGGCAGAAGGUGGCACUGCUCUGUGGGCCCCCGGGGCU
RNAcentral lists this small RNA (701 nucleotides) under Pan troglodytes (chimpanzee). RNAcentral describes it as "retained intron". Lineage: Eukaryota; Metazoa; Chordata; Mammalia; Primates; Hominidae. The record is from RNAcentral.